This 811-nucleotide ribosomal RNA is filed under the name Agroathelia delphinii. Its description in RNAcentral is "partial large subunit ribosomal RNA". Lineage: Eukaryota; Fungi; Basidiomycota; Agaricomycetes; Amylocorticiales; Amylocorticiaceae. The record is from RNAcentral.
AAGAAACUAACAAGGAUUCCCCUAGUAACUGCGAGUGAAGCGGGAAAAGCUCAAAUUUAAAAUCUGGUAGUCUCUGGCUGCCCGAGUUGUAAUCUGGAGAAGUGUUUUCUGUGCUGGGCCGUGUACAAGUCUCUUGGAAUAGAGCGUCAUAGAGGGUGAGAAUCCCGUCUUUGACACGGACAUCCAGUGCUCUGUGAUGCACUCUCAAAGAGUCGAGUUGUUUGGGAAUGCAGCUCAAAAUGGGUGGUAAAUUCCAUCUAAAGCUAAAUAUUGGCAAGAGACCGAUAGCGAACAAGUACCGUGAGGGAAAGAUGAAAAGAACUUUGGAAAGAGAGUUAAACAGUACGUGAAAUUGUUGAAAGGGAAACGCUUGAAGUCAGUCGCGUCUAGCAAGGAUCAGCCCUUCUCGGAGGGUGUAUUUCUUGCUUGACGGGUCAACAUCAAUUUUGACUACUGGAAAAAGGCCAGGGGAAGGUGGCACCUUCGGGUGUGUUAUAGCCUUUGGUCAUAUACAGUAGUUGGGAUUGAGGAAUUCAGCAUGCCUUCAUGGCUGGGGUUCGCCCACAUUCAUGCUUAGGAUGUUGGCAUAAUGGCUUUAAGCGACCCGUCUUGAAACACGGACCAAGGAGUCUAACAUACCUGCGAGUGUUUGGGUGUAAAAACCCGAGCGCAUAAUGAAAGUGAAAGUUGAGACCCUUUUAAGGGGCAUCGACGCCCGGACCAGACCUUYUGUGACGGAUCUGCGGUAGAGCAUGUAUGUUGGGACCCGAAAGAUGGUGAACUAUGCCUGAAUAGGGUGAAGCCAGAGGAA